Long non-coding RNA from Nicotiana attenuata, 674 nucleotides. RefSeq lists it as uncharacterized. The record is from RefSeq and is a predicted model, not a curated record. The transcript has 5 exons. NCBI's taxonomy places the organism in Eukaryota, Viridiplantae, Streptophyta, Magnoliopsida, Solanales, Solanaceae.
UGGAGGAAGAAUCGCAUCUCCAAUUUCUCUCCCUAAUCUGAUAUAGCCGUUGGUGACCUAAUGCUUUCCCUAAUCUCAUGCGUUGUAGUUUCCUAGACCACUCUUUCUCCCUCUCUUACAUCCUCUUCUUCCAGGCUUCUAGGUUUUUUUUCCCUAAAAUUUCCCUCUGCCCUUUUCGAAUCCCAUAUGUUCUGUAUUAUAUUUGCUGCGUAAAAGAUUAUGUCAAAGAAAGUUCUGUGAGAGGUCAUGACUUUUUAGAGAUCAGAGUGCUGCAAUGGGUUUGGUGGCAAACGGCGGUACUAAAAGAAACUCAAUGAGAAUAUAAAUGCUAUGUGAACAAAAUAUUCAAAGGUUCAAAUCUUGGUCCACACAGAAAUUGCAGGCUUAAUCUGGAUGAGCAACGGACUCAGGUGACUCUAUGGUCGAUGGUCAGGUCCCCUUUCAUCUUUGGUGGAGAUAUGAGAAAGCUUGAUGAUACUAAUUUAAUCUUCUUACAAAUCCUACUCUGUUGGAGAUUAACUGGUUUAGCUCAAACAACCUGGAGGCAUGUGAAUAAACUGAUUCGACCUUUGGCUUCACUAAGGCAUAUGUAUGGGUCAGAGUCCGACCCCACGAUAAUUAACGAGGCUAAUCCCGUUUUAAGUUAAUUCAUGAUUAAUUAGUGGCACGGCCAU